CCUACGGGUGGCAGCAGUGGGGAAUAUUGCACAAUGGCGGAAACGCUGAUGCAGCAACGCCGCGUGAGUGAAGAAGUAUUUCGGUAUGUAAAGCUCUAUCAGCAGGGAAGAAGAUGACGGCACCUGAGUAAGAAGCAGCGGCUAACUACGGGCCAGCAGCCGCGGGAAUACGGCGGGGGCAAGCGUUAUCCGGAUUUACUGGGUGUAAAGGGAGCGCAGACGGGAGUGGAAGUCUGGAGUGAAAGCCCGGGGCCCAACCCCGGAACUGCUCUGGAAACUGUGCGGCUAGAGUACUGGAGGGGCAUGCGGAAUGCCUAGUGUAGCGGUGAAAUGCGUAGAUAUUAGGAGGAACACCAGUGGCGAAGGCGGCCUACUGGACAGUAACUGACGUUGAGGCUCGAAAGCGUGGGGAGCAAACAGGAUUAGAUACCCCAGUAGUC
Molecule: ribosomal RNA, 440 nt
Filed under: uncultured bacterium
Lineage: Bacteria
Description: partial 16S ribosomal RNA
Rfam family: Bacterial small subunit ribosomal RNA
Source: RNAcentral